AUGCCUGCCAGUUUUCUGUUUCCUUCUGCUUGGGCUGGAGGGUGUAUGUGUGCCAAUAGCAAAUACCAACACAUAGUUUCACAUUUUUCUUCAGCAUUUUUGCUCUCUCCAGAUUUCAGCACCAUGAGUCAGAGUCCGACUCAUCCUGGCCUGGUUGCAGCCCUGCUUACUGCCAAGAUAUGUAGGGCAAAUAUGCGGCACAAAUCUCACUGUGUUCAACAGAGCUUGGUCCCAGAGAGAAGAGCCUGUCGGACACUAGAUGCCAUUGCAUGUCUAUUGUCAAAUAGUGGAAGAUGAAACAUGCUGUUACAUAUCAGGUAUCAAAUAUUGUUUAAUAGGAUAUAUUUGCUGUUUAAAAACUGUUUUUUAAUUUUUAAGAAUUAUGGGUUCCUUAAGAUCAAACUACAUAGUUCUAUAUACUCAGAAUGAAUUUAUUCUCCAGAGCAAAAUCUUACACAAGGAAAAUUGCACAAUUCAAACAUAAAACUGAGAUAUCAGCAAACUUGGGGGGGGGGGAGAGAGAGAGAGAAAAGUUAGAAAAAUAUUGGAGAUCCCUGAGCAUACUUUUGGUUUUAAAAGAAGAAGGACAUAAGGAAUUCCAAGCCUAGAAUUUAACCAUAUGUUUGAAGUAAAAUAUUAUUUUACACAUAGAUGUUUCUCAUGGAUUCUUCAACUGAAACAGUUUUGAGGCAGCUUAGGUACCUGCUACUAAUUUUCCUGUACAAAGACUCUAGAAAGUCACAAGGGAUACUGGAUGUUUCUAGGACACACUCUGCAUUUACAGUGGGCUGGGUAUAGUGAUAUCUUGACACUGUUCUAUGUAAAUGUGGUGUGCACAUUUAGAACACAGAAAUUUCUCAGUAGACAUACAUGUUGUGGGGGGAAGAGGGAGGUGCCACAUUAUCCUUGUAUGAAAUCUGAACGAUGACUGGAAAAAAUGUACAGACAUAAACUAGCUUAUAUAAACUGGCAACCCUUUGCCUAACAAGAUGAGAAGACACAUUCCAAUCAGCAACACUAGAGAUGGAAUUUGAAACCUGCACCUCUGACUUGAACCUCUAUCCUCCAUUUUGAAAAUUA
Molecule: long non-coding RNA, 1080 nt
Filed under: Pogona vitticeps (central bearded dragon)
Lineage: Eukaryota; Metazoa; Chordata; Lepidosauria; Squamata; Agamidae
Description: lncRNA (ENSPVIG00000020153.1)
Source: RNAcentral